GCAGUCGUAUCGAAGAGGCCAUAACGAGCUCGACUCGAAAUCGAGUUGCCCUAACAGGCACGUGGGUUCGAAUCCCACCGACUGCGCCA
Molecule: transfer RNA, 89 nt
Filed under: Dubosiella newyorkensis
Lineage: Bacteria; Bacillati; Bacillota; Erysipelotrichia; Erysipelotrichales; Erysipelotrichaceae
Description: tRNA-Ser
Rfam family: tRNA
About the family: Transfer RNA (tRNA) molecules are approximately 80 nucleotides in length. Their secondary structure includes four short double-helical elements and three loops (D, anti-codon, and T loops). Further hydrogen bonds mediate the characteristic L-shaped molecular structure. tRNAs have two regions of fundamental functional importance: the anti-codon, which is responsible for specific mRNA codon recognition, and the 3' end, to which the tRNAs corresponding amino acid is attached (by aminoacyl-tRNA synthetases). tRNAs cope with the degeneracy of the genetic code in two manners: having more than one tRNA (with a specific anti-codon) for a particular amino acid; and 'wobble' base-pairing, i.e. permitting non-standard base-pairing at the 3rd anti-codon position.
Source: RNAcentral